AAACUUGCUUCAACAGCACAUAUACUAAAUUGGAAUGAUACAGAGAUUAGCAUGGCCCCUGAAAAAGGAUGACACGCAAAUUCGUAAAGUGCUCCAUAUUUUU
Molecule: small nuclear RNA, 103 nt
Filed under: Mus caroli (Ryukyu mouse)
Lineage: Eukaryota; Metazoa; Chordata; Mammalia; Rodentia; Muridae
Source: RNAcentral